This 1357-nucleotide long non-coding RNA is filed under the name Oncorhynchus kisutch (coho salmon). Its description in RNAcentral is "lncRNA (ENSOKIG00005007819.1)". The record is from RNAcentral. Lineage: Eukaryota; Metazoa; Chordata; Actinopteri; Salmoniformes; Salmonidae.
AACACACACACCCUAAACACACACACACACUAUCACACACUAUCACACACACUAUCACACUAUCACACACACACACUAUUACACUAUCACACACUAUCACACACACACACACUAUCACACACACACACUAUCACACUGUCACACACACAAUCACACUAUCACACACACACACUAUCACACACACACACUAUCACACUAUCACACACACACACUAUCACACUAUCACACACACACACUAUCACACUAUCACACACACACACUAUCACACACACACACUAUCACACACACACACUAUCGCACACACACACACUAUCACACACACACACACUCACACACACACACACACACACACACCGACACACACUAUCAUACACACACUAUCACAUACUAUCACACACACACACACACACACACACACACUAUCACACACACACACACACUAUCACACACACACACACACUAUCACACACACACUAUCAUACACACACACUAUUGCAUACUAUCACACACACACACACACUAUCACACACACUCACACACACUAUCACACUAUCACACACACUCACACACACACACACACACACACACUAUCACACACUAUCACACACACACACUAUCACACACACUAUCACACACACACUAUCACACACACACAAACACUAUCACACACACACACUAUCAUACACACACACUAUCACAUACUAUCACUCACACACACACACACACACACACACUAUCACACACACACACACACUAUCACACACAACAAGUUCACAGUCAGACAAACAAAAACACACACUAUCACACACACUACUGCAGUGCUGGGUAGAGAGGAACCAGGCUCUGAGGGGUGGUCAGUCCUCUACUGGCUGUACUGGGUAGAGAGGAACCAGGCUCUGAGGGGUGGGCAGGCCUCUACUGGCUGUACUGGGUAGGGAGGAACCAGGCUCUGAGGGGUGGUCAGUCCUCUACUGGCUGUACUGGGUAGACCAGAGGAACCAGGCUCUGAGGGGUGGUCAGUCCUCUACUGGCUGUACUGGGUAGACCAGAGGAACCAGGCUCUGAGGGGUGGUCAGUCCUCUACUGGCUGUACUGGGUAGACCAGAGGAACCAGGCUCUGAGGGGUGGUCAGUCCUCUACUGGCUGUACUGGGUAGACCAGAGGAACCAGGCUCUGAGGGGUGGUCAGUCCUCUACUGGCUGUACACACAUCUUGUUCCUGUAGUUCUGUUGUUAUGAUAGCACUAAGUAGCAACAGUAACAACAGCUGUGUGGUCACUCACUCCAUCUUCUCCCCUCCAUCUCCUCCCUCCUUCUCCUCCCCUCCUCCUCCCUCUCCUCCCCCCCUUCACUCCUCC